UACAGAGGGUGCAAGCGUUAAUCGGAGUUACUGGGCGUAAAGGGCGCGUAGGUGGCUACAUAAGUUAGACGUGAAAGCCCUGGGCUCAACCUAGGAACGGCGUUUAAGACUGUGUAGCUGGAGUACAGUAGAGGGCGGCAGAAUUUCCGGUGUAGCGGUGAAAUGCGUAGAGAUCGGAAGGAACACCGGUGGCGAAGGCGGCCGCCUGGACUGAUACUGACACUGAGGCGCGAGAGCGUGGGGAGCAAACAGG
Molecule: ribosomal RNA, 253 nt
Filed under: uncultured bacterium
Lineage: Bacteria
Description: partial 16S ribosomal RNA
Rfam family: Bacterial small subunit ribosomal RNA
Source: RNAcentral